This 69-nucleotide transfer RNA is filed under the name Diaemus youngi. Its description in RNAcentral is "tRNA-Thr". Lineage: Eukaryota; Metazoa; Chordata; Mammalia; Chiroptera; Phyllostomidae. The record is from RNAcentral.
GUCUAUGUAGUAUAUUAAUUAUACUGGUCUUGUAAACCAGAGAAGGGAACUGAAACUCCCCACAGACCU